Long non-coding RNA from Budorcas taxicolor (takin), 484 nucleotides. RefSeq lists it as uncharacterized. Lineage: Eukaryota; Metazoa; Chordata; Mammalia; Artiodactyla; Bovidae. The record is from RefSeq and is a predicted model, not a curated record. The transcript has 3 exons.
GCAGGUGACUCUAACCCCUGGGUCUCCGUGUACCUCACGGACAGUGGUCGCUGCCCUGUGGGGAGCCCCCGGACAUCACGGGCUCCACUUCCAGCCUUGAAGUCUUUUACAAAUCAAAGCAAAGAGAAGAUUUGUGGAUGUUGAAUAUGCAAGGAGCUGAAGAGAGAGAGAUUGGAAGAGAGAUUUGUCCAGGUUGGAUGAACAAGUCUGCUCCAGAGCAGGAUGGCACUGAUAUUGAGUUGCCAGGGGUAGCAUCAAAGAGAUCCCAAGAGGAUGAAUACCAGGAUUCUACAUUUGAAGAAAAACAUAUACGUGAGAACAUGAAGGAAAACCCUCCCAGAGAGGCUCCUGGACCACGGUUUUUCCAAGAAGGUUUUGGAGCAAUAACUUUUAUCCAUAAGGAAGCACCUCCAGAAAUGAUUAGCCAGGAAUAUCAUUUAGAGAGAAGCUUGCUUUUGACCUCAAGUCUUGUUACACAUCUCAG